AUACAGAGAGUGCAAGCGUUAAUCGGAAUUACUGGGCGUAAAGGGCGCGCAGGCGGCUUGGGAAGUCUUGGGUGAAAGCCCCCAGCUCAACUGGGGAACGGCCUGAGAAACCACUAGGCUGGAGUGCUGGAGAGGGAAGCGGAAUUCCCGGUGGAGCGGUGAAAUGCGUAGAUAUCGGGAGGAACACCAGAGGCGAAGGCGGCUUCCUGGACAGACACUGACGCUGAGGCGCGAAAGCUAGGGGAGCAAACGGGAUUAGAUACCCGAGUAGUCC
Molecule: ribosomal RNA, 274 nt
Filed under: uncultured bacterium
Lineage: Bacteria
Description: partial 16S ribosomal RNA
Rfam family: Bacterial small subunit ribosomal RNA
Source: RNAcentral